This 62-nucleotide transfer RNA is filed under the name Neelides sp. FZ-2019. Its description in RNAcentral is "tRNA-Leu". Lineage: Eukaryota; Metazoa; Arthropoda; Collembola; Neelipleona; Neelidae. The record is from RNAcentral.
UCUAAUGUGGCAGAUAAAGUGCAAUAGUUUUAAGAACUAUAAAUAAUUUCAAUUCUUUAGAA